GAUGAAGAACGUAGCGAAAUGCGAUAAGUAGUGUGAAUUGCAGAAUUCAGUGAAUCAUCGAAUCUUUGAGCGCACAUUGCGCCCCUUGGUAUCCCGAGGGGCAUGCCUGUUCGAGCGUCAUUUCACCACUCAAGCCUGGCUUGGUGUUGGGCGACGUCCUCUUUGGGGACGCGCCUCGAAACGCUCGGCGGCGUGGCACCGGCUUUAAGCGUAGCAGAAUCUUUCGCUUUGGAAGUCGGGGCCCCGUCUGCCGGAAGACCUGCUCGCAAGGUUGACCUCGGAUCAGGCAGGGAUACCCGCUGAACUUAAGCAUAUCAAUAAGCGGAGGA
Molecule: unclassified non-coding RNA, 329 nt
Filed under: soil metagenome
Description: partial contains 5.8S ribosomal RNA, internal transcribed spacer 2, and large subunit ribosomal RNA
Rfam family: 5.8S ribosomal RNA (bases 1-120)
Source: RNAcentral